This 1090-nucleotide long non-coding RNA is filed under the name Scleropages formosus (Asian bonytongue). RNAcentral describes it as "lncRNA (ENSSFOG00015030034.1)". The record is from RNAcentral. Lineage: Eukaryota; Metazoa; Chordata; Actinopteri; Osteoglossiformes; Osteoglossidae.
GCACACGUCACGGCGCGCGCUGGGGUCGGGUCGGCUGAGGGCGGGGGGGUGGUGGUGGUUGGGGGGGAGGGGAGGGGAGGGGAGGGGAGGGGAUCGGAGGAUGCGGUAGGGGACCGGUAGUGACUUAUCAUCGAGUGAGAUCAGUGGGUGGAGGAGGAAAUAUCCACACACAUAAUAAUAAUAAUAAUAAUAAUAAUAAUAAUAAUAAGAAGAAGAAGAAGAAGAAGAAUAGUGGCGCAUCCUUCUUCGAAUGUGUUCGAGGGAAACCCAGCAGGGGAAUUUCUUUGCAAAGUUACACGUCGUAGAAAAGAAUUACGUCAUUUGAAGAGUCGGAAUGCGAAGCAUUUCUGAAGGCAACACGAGGACGUUCCGAGCACAGAGCUCCAGCGGAGGAGGAGACCACCAACUCAUCCAGCGACAUCAAUGCAGACCUUCCGCUCUUGUCGCCGUGCCUCAUGUAACUGCAGUGUGUGACUAACGCUCUCCUGCGAGGCUCCGCGCUCCUGACAGUAGGUGGCGGCAAACGCUGUCUAUUUGUGGCUCCAGCCUGCCAUGUCCCCCAGGAGAACCGGAAGAUGAUGGGGAAAACCAAUACCCAAGAAUGAUACCCAGAGAUGGAUGUUUCAGUGAUGCUGAUGCUGAGGAACUGAAACUGAAAAACUGAUGCUGAGAAAGGGAUGCUGAGGAAUUGAGAAGGGUACCGGGAGCUCCAGGAAUGGAGUGGAGGUUUUCCUCAAAGUGCUUUGUACUUUAACCAGAGAUUUUCCCAGAAAUACAUGUUAGCUGUUACCUGUCCAGGGUCUCUAGUCUCUAGUCUAGUGUCUGUUAUUUGUUCUAGCUAAAUUACAUGCCCCAUACACCCUUUUCAGUAUUUAUAUUACAUUUAAAUUUUGCGUAAGUCUUUUACAGCAUUGUGUAUAUUAUAUAUUGUGUACAUUGCUGCCAGACUCUGGGCGUAUAUUGCACUGUCUUGUCUUCUUUCUGCACUUGUCUGUUGUAUUUAUCUUUCUUACAACCUGAACUGUAUGUUUUGUGUGGCACGGAGGUCUGAAGAGAAACUGAAUUUCAUUCUUCUGUAUGUGUAACUCAC